AGCGAACGCUGGCGGCAGGCUUAACACAUGCAAGUCGAGCGGGCACUUUCGGGUGUCCGCGGCGGACGGGUGAGUAACGCGUGGGAACGUGCCCUCUGGUUCGGAAUAACUCAGGGAAACUUGAGCUAAUACCGGAUACGCCCUUUUGGGGAAAGGCUUGCUGCCGGAGGAUCGGCCCGCGUCUGAUUAGCUAGUUGGUGAGGUAACGGCUCACCAAGGCGACGAUCAGUAGCUGGUCUGAGAGGAUGAUCAGCCACACUGGGACUGAGACACGGCCCAGACUCCUACGGGAGGCAGCAGUGGGGAAUAUUGGACAGUGGGCGCAAGCCUGAUCCAGCCAUGCCGCGUGAGUGAUGAAGGCCUUAGGGUUGUAAAGCUCUUUUAUCCGGGACGAUAAUGACGGUACCGGAGGAAUAAGCCCCGGCUAACUUCGUG
This 435-nucleotide ribosomal RNA is filed under the name uncultured bacterium. Its description in RNAcentral is "partial 16S ribosomal RNA". It matches the Rfam family "Bacterial small subunit ribosomal RNA", at positions 29 to 507 of the family's 1533-position model. The record is from RNAcentral.